Molecule: long non-coding RNA, 1121 nt
Filed under: Equus asinus (donkey)
Lineage: Eukaryota; Metazoa; Chordata; Mammalia; Perissodactyla; Equidae
Description: lncRNA (ENSEASG00005038401.1)
Source: RNAcentral
GUUCACUCAACGAAGCUUCAUCAAGUCCCCAGAUAUGCCAGUGUUCUAGGCUCCAGGGACAUCAGUGAAGAAAUAAGACAGACCCCCUACCCACGUGGAGCGCACAUCCCUUUGGAAGAGAGAACAAGGACACGAGUGCCCACCUGGUCAUCAAUUCAUUUGCUCAACAGUUACUUAUCAAAGGCACUGGGGACACAGUGAUGACAAACUCAGACGCUGUCCUUGACCUCCUGGAGCAGGUCCAAUGGGCAAGUCAGAUAUUAAACUCCAAAUCACACAAACAAACAUGCAACUGCAAACUGUGAUGGCCUCGAUGAAGAAGAAACACGGGUAUGAAAGAUGGCUCCGGCUUCAGUGUAGAGAAGAGACAGAAGGCAGGAGGGCAAGGAGGACACCAGUGGCGGUAUUACAGUGGGCCAGGCAAGCAGUGACAGAGGUGUGGGCCAAGGGUGUGACCUGGGGAAUGUAGAGAAGUGGUUGGGGCUAAGAUCUGCUUCAUAUAAUAGGUCGAAUUGACAGGUCUACGAUUGGGCUACGUGGAAACGAGGGGAAGAUCAAAGUCAAGGAAGAUGCUCAGAUUUUCAGCUCAAGCAACUUGGUGAACCUACUGCUAUUCAGUGAGAUGGGGCUGAUGGGGAAAGCACAGACUAAGUUGAAGGUGGAAGAGAUCAAGUGGAUCAGGCCUUUUCUGUUCCCUCCCCUGCCUCUAAUCCUUGGAAGAGAAUCUCUGCUCAUCCCUUUGCCUUAUUUCCUCACAUGACCAAGGACUGUAACAGGGGAGAACAAAAUGCCUUGGCAGUGGGACCCUCUGGCCCUGCCUGAUUGACCAUCUGGGAGACAGGGAGGCCAGCAGCCAGGAUCUGAUGUUGUGCAUUGAAUUGCAACACAAGAUGGAUAAUACAUGCAAUUUGUACUGAAGGAGCAGGCGAGGGUGGCAGGGGCACCUGGACCUGAGUGAAGACGUAAUGAAUUACACAAGGACCAAGGUCUUCCUGUGUCACCACUCAACUCCUCCAAACACCCACCUUCCCCAACUAAGCAAGAUCCCCAUCCGCUCAGAGAAACGAGGGACCUGGCUGGGGCUGACGUCUCCAGGAGCACUGUCCAGUAGAACUUUCUGC